RNAcentral lists this ribosomal RNA (420 nucleotides) under bacterium. RNAcentral's name for it is "partial 16S ribosomal RNA". It matches the Rfam family "Bacterial small subunit ribosomal RNA", at positions 355 to 776 of the family's 1533-position model. The record is from RNAcentral.
UGGGGGAUAUUGCGCAAUGGGCGAAAGCCUGAUGCAGCGACGCCGCGUGGGGGAUGAAGGCUUUCGGGUUGUAAACCUCUUUCGCUAUCGAACAAGGCCCGCUUAGGGUGGGUUGAGGGUAGGUGGAGAAGAAGCGCCGGCUAACUACGUGCCAGCAGCCGCGGUAAUACGUAGGGCGCGAGCGUUGUCCGGAAUUAUUGGGCGUAAAGGGCUUGUAGGCGGCUUGUUGCGCCUGCUGUGAAAACGCGGGGCUUAACUUCGCGCGUGCAGUGGGUACGGGCAGGCUUGAGUGUGGUAGGGGUGACUGGAAUUCCAGGUGUAGCGGUGGAAUGCGCAGAUAUCUGGAGGGACACCGAUGGCGAAGGCAGGUCACUGGGCCAUUACUGACGCUGAGGAGCGAAAGCAUGGGUAGCGAACAGG